RNAcentral lists this ribosomal RNA (429 nucleotides) under Bacteroidota bacterium. RNAcentral describes it as "Bacteroidetes bacterium partial 16S ribosomal RNA". It matches the Rfam family "Bacterial small subunit ribosomal RNA", at positions 355 to 776 of the family's 1533-position model. Lineage: Bacteria; Pseudomonadati; Bacteroidota. The record is from RNAcentral.
UAGGGAAUCUUCGGCAAUGGGGGGAACCCUGACCGAGCAACGCCGCGUGAGUGAAGAAGGUUUUCGGAUCGUAAAGCUCUGUUGUUAAGGAAGAACGAGUGUGAGAAUGGAAAGUUCAUGCUGUGACGGUACUUAACCAGAAAGGGACGGCUAACUACGUGCCAGCAGCCGCGGUAAUACGUAGGUCCCGAGCGUUGUCCGGAUUUAUUGGGCGUAAAGCGAGCGCAGGCGGUUAGAAAAGUCUGAAGUGAAAGGCAGUGGCUCAACCAUUGUAGGCUUUGGAAACUGUUUAACUUGAGUGCAGAAGGGGAGAGUAGAAUUCCAUGUGUAGCGGUGAAAUGCGUAGGUAUAUGGAGGAACACCGGUGGCGAAAGCGGCUCUCUGGUCUGUAACUGACGCGGAGGCUCGAAAGCGUGGGGAGCGAACAGG